This 502-nucleotide long non-coding RNA is filed under the name Brassica napus (rape). RNAcentral's name for it is "long non-coding RNA (BNAP_LNC013928)". Lineage: Eukaryota; Viridiplantae; Streptophyta; Magnoliopsida; Brassicales; Brassicaceae. The record is from RNAcentral.
UUUUUCAAAUAUUUAUAAUUUGAAUAGGAUUUUACUGAGGAAUGUGAUUUCAGAUAGGGUGUGAUUUGGGAGUUUGUGUGUUGUUUGAGAAUGAGAGUUGUGGGUAUAUUUAUAGGAAAGCAAGGCUCGUUAAUUCCACGUAAGCAAAAUCGUCGCUAAUACCUUGUAUAUAAAAACACGGGCCUUUGCGAUUCCUCGUAAUUUCCUCGUAUUGAAAAACACGGGCCUUUGUAACUGCUCGCUAUUUCGUCGUAAACUUACGACGAAUUUGCGACGAUAUGUAAUCUUAUAUAUACCCCCGAGCGCUCACUCUUUCUUUCCUCUCUACUUCCUCUCCACCUCCUCUCUAUUUCGUAGCAAUGGUAAGUCUCUCUAAUUCCUCUCUAAUUUGGUUAGUUUAGGAUAGAUUAGGUGGUUAGUAUAGGGAAUUUAGAUAGGUUUACGGAUUUUAGAUAGGUUUACGAGUUGGCCGCGACAAAAUCUCGUAUGGGUGGAGUCGAGG